RNAcentral lists this long non-coding RNA (8677 nucleotides) under Mytilus galloprovincialis (Mediterranean mussel). Lineage: Eukaryota; Metazoa; Mollusca; Bivalvia; Mytilida; Mytilidae. The record is from RNAcentral.
ACGUCAUGAUUCGUGAAGCAAAACGCAAAUUUUAUGGAAGAUAUGAGAUGCAGCUAGGACAAUGUAGGAUAUCUUCAAUCUAGGACACUAAAGACAAGAUGGGUAAGAAUUCAGCUUUAAUAUUUUAUUCGAUUAACAUUUCACGAAGGAUUUUUAAAUGCCAUUUCCAAAACUGAUUUAUUUAUCCACAGGACUCAGGAGUUUGAAAUCCUAUCAAUAACGGGGUAAACAUAUACCAAACUUGAAUAUCACAGUAGAGCUUCACUCGAAUCAAUCUUCUGUGAUAUAUCCAGUUUGAGUAAAUUAUAAAGACAUGCACGAACUUAAGUUUAUAAGACCGUAAAGUAGAACCAGCUAGAUGACCAUUUAUUCUUUACACUUCCGGAGCACCCGAGAUCACCCCUUGUUUUUGGUGGGGUUCGUGUUGUUUAUUCUUUAGUUUCCUAUGUUGUGUCGUGGGAACUAUUGUUUGUCCUUUUCAUUUUUUAGCCAUGGCGUUGUCAGUUUAUUUUCGAUUUAUGAGUUUGACUGUCCCUCUGGUAUCUUUCGUCCCUCUUUUAUCUGUUUAUAACCAUUGAAAUGUAUAUGUCUCUUUGAUAACUAUACAUUUUUUGGUAGCGAGUGAAACCGGAGUGAAGUUAACACUGGCUUCGUAAUAUUCCUGUUGUCUUCCCAAGUUCUGAGAUAAACUAUCAAAGCACGUAAACAAUAAGAUGUUUAUUUAAAAGACAUAUAUAUAUAUGGUUGAAUAUACAGUUAUAUAUACAGUGGGGCUGCCGCUAGUCUACUUGUUAAUGUUAUUGUAACAGUCCCUAAAGUGGGAGCCAUAGGAUGAGCGUCCUCUCAAUUCAAAUCCUAUUAGUAAACUUUCCUGAACCCAAUGAGUGACAUCAUACUUAUAGUUCCUAGCUAGGGACAAAGAGUCCAAUAGGGUUUGGAAGUCUGGCAAGAUCAAAGUCCUGACAAGAAUAAUAACAUGGCAGGUGGUGGUCUCGGGAGAAAGAGUUACGGAACUAUAACUGUAUAAGUAAUACAUUUGUACUAAGACAUAGUAACAAUAUAUAACACCAGACUAGAGGACUGUGAAAACAAGUGACCUGGCAUAAAAUGAAUAUCCUGGUCUGGUUUCUCAAUCUGGGGUGACUGGUAAGAACACAUUCAUAAAUCAUGGGCUUUAAGGAAUCUUAUUUAAGAAUGUCAUAUCAAAUUAAAAUUUUCAGAGAAUUGGAUUAUAAAAUUACAGAACCAGGUGCUCUGCAGGGAGCAGCUUUCUACGACCCGCUGAGGGUGAACCAUGAAUAGUUGGGGCUAGUAUCAUGAGUAUUGACACAACAUUCAAGCUUGAUACAGCUCUGAAUUUGGAUUCUGAUCAAAUUUUUGACAUACAUGUAAUGUAAUAUGAGUUUCUGACACUAAGCAAAUGUCAAGAUCUUACAAAUCUAUUGCGCAAUAUUGUGCAGUUAAAAAUUUCUUCUUUAAACUUUUUAAAAAUUUGGAAUUCAAGAAAUUCAAUGACAUUUUGUCAUUUUUUUUUUAUUAAAAUCGCUAUUGGUAGUAAAAGCUCGUCUGGCCUACUAAACAAGCCCCUGUGAACCACUAAAAAACAAUAAAUUAAGCAGCUUUGACUCCAUAAUAAAUGAGAUGCUCAAGCGCAGCCAAUCAUAUCUGCUUAAAUGUUUUGUAAAGAUAUUUAACAUGUUUAACAAUGUCAAUGAUGUAAGUAACAACAGGAAAAUUUCCUGAAAUAUGGGCUAAAGGAUUUAUUGUCCCAUUACAUAAAAUCGGAUCUAAAGAUUACCCAUCAAAUUUUAAGAAGCAUCACGAUAGGAAGUUGUGUAGGAAAACUCUUUUUAAAAAUACUCAAUAAUAGAUAAGAAUAGUUUAUAUAAACUAUAAGAAAUAUAGUUGGUCCAGAGUGGACAAUGCUCAUUGUUGAACGCUGUAUGGUGGCUAUGGUUGUUAAUUUCUGUGUCAUUGGCAAUCAUAUCACAUCUCCUAUUUUUAUAGGACGACUGCAAGUUCUGGUGGAUGGUCUUAGAAAAAUAUCAUAACAUGUACAUGUACAUGUAUACCGGUAUGAUAGAAAAAAAAAUUUCUCCGAUAAGUAACUGUGUGGAUGAUGAAUAAAUGACAGGGAUUUUAACCUCACUGCAAUAAUAUAUAAUAUUGUAGCACUUGGUACAAUCACUUUUUAAACGACCGCAAAAAUUAAAAAAAAUCACGUGUGCGUCGCUGUCGUGCUCAUCCGAAUACUUUUAGUUUUCGCACUCUAACUUUAGUAAUUUUAAGUGAAUGGAAAUCUAUGAAAUUUUAACACAAGGUUUAUGACCACAAAAGGAAGGUUGGGAUUGAUUUUGGGAGUUUUGGUCCCAACAUUUUAGGAAUUAGGGGCCAAAAAGGGCCCAAAUAAGCAUUUUCUUGGUUUUCGCACUAUAACUUUAGUUUAAGUAAAUAGAAAUCUAUGAAAUUUUGAACACAAAGGUUUAUGACCACAAAAAGGAAGGUUUUGGGAAAAAAUUUAGUUUGAUUUCAUCAAAAAUUGGGGUUCUUUGAUAUGCCAAAUCUAACUGUGUAUGUAGAUUCUUAAUUUUUGGUCCCGUUUUCAAAUUGGUCUGUACAUUUAAGUCCAAAGGGUCCAAAAUUAAACUAAGUUUGAUUUUAACAAAAAUUAAAUUCUUUGGCUUCUUUGAUAUGCUGAUUCUAAACAUGUACUUAGAUUUUUGAUUAUGGGCCCAGUUUUCAAGUUGGUCCAAAUCAGGAUCCAAAAUUAUUAUAUUAAGUAUUGUGCAAUAGCAAGAAAUUUUCAAUUGCACAGUAUUCAGCAAUAGCAAGAAAUCUUCAAAUGCACAGUAUUGUGCAAUAGCAAGAAAUUUUCAAUUGCACAGUAUUGCGCAAUAGCAAGAAAUCUUCAAUUGCACAGUAUUGUGCAAUAGCAAGUAUUUUCAAUUGCACAGUAUUGCGCAAUAGCAAGAAAUAUCUAAUUGCACAAUAUUGCGCAAUAGCAAGAAAUUUUCAAUUGGAGUUAUCUUUCUUUGUCCAGAAUAGUAGUUGAAUCAACUUAAAUCAUUGUUUUAUACAAUAUACAAUGUAUAUUCACUUUUACUACCAACUGAUAAAUUAAAACAAUCUUUACCAUUCAGUGAUAACAAGCACUUUUUUUACAUUUUAAUAUUUUAUGAUGUAUUUAAAUGAGUAGUUAUUGUUGCAAACUCCAUUAGAAAUUUGAAUUGAGAUCAGUUUUGGAAUAAGGGAAAGGGGGAUGUGAAAAAAAAAAAUUGGGGGGGGGGGGUCAAUUUUUCUCAUUUCAGAUUUCAUAAAUAAAAAGAAAAUUUCUUCAAACAUUUUUUUGAGAGGAUUAAUAUUCAACAGCAUAGUGAAUUGCUCAAAGGCAAAACAAAAAUGUUUAAGUUCAUUAGACCACAUUCAUUCUGUGUCAGAAACCUAUGCUGUGUCAACUAUUUAAUCACAAUCCAAAUUUAGAGCUGAAUCCAGCUUGAAUGUUGUGUCCAUACUUGCCCCAACCGUUCAGGGUUCAACCUCUGCGGUCUUAUAAAGCUGCGCCCUGCGGAGCAUCUGGUUAUCAUUAUACUAUGGUUUGUUUUAAUACAAAAAUGUAUAUAAAAUAUUAAUACAACUGUUCAAAAUAUAUAGCAUAUUCCCUCAACCAAUAUAGUGAGUUCAGUAUAAUAUACACUUCUUAGUUUUAUUAUUUGAUUGACAUGAAUUGUUUAUACUGUCUUUUUACUGAUAUCUGAAAUAUUUGCCACUUGAGACAUUAUGCAGACUGCCUUAUGUAGGCAUUAAAAAUUUAAGGGACUGUUGGUCCAUCUUUCAGUAUUACAUUGGAUGAUGAUUCAAUUUUUGUUUCCUUGUGUUAACUUUAGUUUGCAAUUGCCUCAUGCAAAGGAUUAGGUCCAGUAAGACCCCUUUUUGGCCCCAAAAUAUAGCAGUUUUACAAAAUUGUUUAGAUGUAAACUUCUAGUUAUUCAUCGGAAAGUAGAAUGCUACUGCUACAUAAAUGUGGGCUGUUUUCAACAAUACAACGCACAUAUAUCGGGUACUAGCAUCAUUAAGUCAUGCUAAAUUACUGAAAUCUUCACAAUUUUAGAAUUUUAGUUAAAUUUUAGACGUUUUUUUGUCUUGAAUGAAAGUGCCGCAUUGGUGUCCAUUCUUAAAAAUAUUGAAAAGUAAGUUGUAUUUGAUGAUAACACAUAACAUAUAUAAAGGUUGAGGAUGAACACGAAUCAGCCAUUUCAAUUAAUAUUUUAUAGUGUGUCUUUCUAUGUUGUGAUGUUACACUAUUGUUUCAGAUAAGGGUGAAGGUUUGGUACCAUUUAAAAGUUUAAACCCCCUGCAAUUGUGUGUCACCUGUCCUUAGUCAGGAAUCUGAUGUUUAGUAGUUUUCGUUUGUUGAUGUAGUAACUAAGUUCAUAAGUUUUUCUCGUUUCUUCUUUUUAUACGCCCAUUUAUGUGAGUACAUAUGUAUUAUGGUAUACCGUUGUCUGUCUGUCCAUGGUCAACAUGUUGGACAUUAACUCAUAAAUGCUUUAACCAUUUUGCAUAAAACUUCGGUGAAUUGUUUAUAUCUAUUGACAUGAGCUGCCUUUCAUUUUUUAUAAGGUUUAGAUUUUAAGUUUCUGAGUAACAGGGUUGUUCAUAAAAAAAAGGUGAUUUUCCAGUUUUUAGUCAAUAACUCAAGAAUGUUUUCUCCUACUUGCAAGAAAUUUUGGUGUAUUUUUUAUAUCUAUUGACAUGAACUCCCUUUCAAUUUUUAUAAAUUUUAAAUUUCUGAGUUACCAGGUUUUAUAUUCAUAAAAAAAGGGUGAUUUUCCAGUUUUCAGUCAAUAUCUCCAGAAUGUUUUCUUUUUCUUGCAAGAAAUUUUGGUGAAUUGUUUAUAUCUUUUGACAUGAGAUCCCUUACAAUUUUUAUAAUUUUAGAUAUUGGGUUUUUGAGUUACCAGAUUUUAUUCAUAAAAAGAUGGGGAAUUUUUCCAGUUUUCGGACAAUAACUCAAAAAUACUUUCAGCAGCUGUUCUCGUGAAACUUUUGUGAAUUGUUUAUAGCUUUGAUGGAAGCUCCCUUUAGAAUUUUAAAAUUUUAGAUUUUACAUUUCAGAGUUAUGGCAUGGGGUUUUAUUCAUUAAAUAAAGGGGAUUUUCCAGUUUUGGACAAUAACUCAAAAAUGCUUGCAGCAAUUCUCAUUGGAUGGUUUUACUCUAGUAGUAAUUUUUUGGGCCCUUUAUAGCUUGCUGUGCAUUGUGAGCCAAAGCUCUAUGUUGAAGACUGUACUUUGACCUUUAAUGGUUUUACUUUUACAUGUUUUAUAAAUUGUGACUUGGAUGAAGAGUUGUCUCAUUGGCACUCAUACCACAUCUUCUUAUAUCUAUCAUCUUCAUUUUGGCUUUCACAUGAACACAUGUGUCUGUAAUUGUAAAGUAAUAUGAAAAUAGUUUCUGUAAAAUUUUUAUGAAAUGGAUUUCUUUUUAUCCUAUAGGCUAGUUAUCAAAUUUGACCUCCCCUAUGUCAGGAAGGUACAUGUACAUGGAUGUUUAAAAAAUUCCACAAAUGGUGAAGAAAAUGGCAAGGGAAGACACCUAGUAAAUGUUUCAAGUACAAUUCAGCAAUGGUAAGUAUAUUUUUUGUAUGGUGCAAGAUUUUUUUGCUGUGUUGAAAACAAUUCGUGGCCUUCCGUUGUUUUUUGCUCUUUGUCAGACUUACUGUUAUUGAAUAUAUAUAUAUGUACUUUGUAAGACAACUUGCUUUCAAUACAUUAUUUAUGCUGAAACUUUAUUACUAUAUAUUAAGGUAACUUUGCUGUUACAGUCUUUGCCAAACUGAAAUUUAAACUUUUCUACUAUACAUUCAACUAAAACAUCUUGAAAGUUCUUUCUGUCUGAAUUGCUUUUUGUCUGAGACUUGUUGGUAAGACAGAGUUUGGGAUUCACUGCUGUUACAAAUAGUAAGGAGAAUUUAUUAAAAAAGAUAUAAUGCAAUAGAGAAACAACUGAUAACUUAUAAGGGGUAUACUAUACAUGGUAUAUAUCAAUGAAUCAACAUUAGUAAAUACACAGCGAAAAAAAAGAAACACAUACAAUUGCAAGAUGGCCCCUAUAUGGUUUUUUGAACCUCAUCAGGUCAAAAUACAGCUAUGGCAAUUUAACCCCCUUGUAUGGAAAAUUGAACAUUGAGGUAAAAUAUAGAUUUUGGCUUACAAAAAAAUGUAUAUCUCUCUGAAAACAAAGCAUUUAGAGCAAAUCUGACAUGGGGUAAAAUUGUUUAACCAAAUAUUAUGAAACUUACACACCCUGAUAAUAUCAACUAAAUGCAGAUCAAGUACAAAUUUGGGUAGGUCACUUUUACUGUUCUGGAGUUAUUUCCCUUAUUAUAACAUUAUACCUAUGCAAAGGGAGCAUCAUCUGUGUCCCAUGGAGAUAAAAAAAAAAUUAAAUUAUGAAAAUGGACAAAUCUGACAUUUUGAUAAACCAAAUAUUUAUAGUGAAUCUAGUGUUUUAUUUAGAGAUGUCUAAAAGGAUGGAACAUGAUGAUCCGGCAUGUAUUACAGCUGAUUUCCUUAUGCUUGCAAAGUAAAACUUUGGUUGGCUUGCUUGCUUUGUUUGUAUAAUUGUUUAUACAAGCUUUGUGAAUAAGAUUGACAUCUUUAAACAAUAUAUAUAGGCAUAGUUAAACCUGUAUAUAUUAUAGAUAAUUCAUAUCAAUUGGGUGUUAUCCUAAUUUAAAAGUCUAAAAAAAUUUAUCGAUAUAAAAAACGUCUCCUUCUGUCUAAAAUAGAUUUGCAGGUUUUGGCACAUUUGUAAAUUACAUUAACGUUUUGGCAAACACAAAAGCAGUUGCUCACGGUUCGUCAACAUGUUAAAGUUCUCAACACUGUUUAUAUAUUCAUAAAGUUCGUUCCUUAAAUCGCAUAAAGUGGACAUUCAAUUAGUACAUGUUCCUCAGUUUCAGUUUUAUUUUCACACAUAAAGAAAGUCCGUUCAUGCAUUGGUAAACGUUCGAAGUGCUUGGUUUCGAUUCGUAUGGGUGCAACCCCACAUCUGAAUUGCGAAUAUGCUCUACGUUGAGCAGGAGAUAAUAGUGUUUUUAAAUAAAGUUCACAACUAAUUUCGGUUUUAAAUGUUCUAUAUGUCCUUAAUUUGUUACUACCACCAUCCAUACGUCUUGCAAAACUCUAUGUAGAUCUUCCGUCCACUUAUUUCUAAAAUCGUUAAAAGUUUAUCUUCUAUUUUCGCUAAACUAGUUUUGUAUUAUACCAGUCACUAAUAUUACACGUUUCAAACUGCAAUAAAGUUAUAAUUUGAAUUUUUACAUGCUUUAAUAAAACUAUGUUAUUAUAUUAUAUUAUAUUUGAAUUCAAUUGGGUGUUAUCCUAAUAUGAUUGUACAAUAUACAAACAAAGCAAGCAAGCUAACCAAAGUUUUGCUCUACAUGCAUUAGGAAAUUAGCUGUAACCCUGUAUGGAAAAACACUGUCAUUGAGAGUGAAUUGAAACUAUUUGUACCUUUACCAUGUUCAUAAUUAGUACAAAAUGACAUCUAAUAAAGAAUUUAUUCAAAACUUAAUUUAUUUCAUUUAUGUUACAGGAGUUUCUGGAAUGCCAAGCAAAAUCAAAGGAUAUUUUCAUAGAAAGGACUUCUGUAGGCAAAAAAAGUAGGUAUGUGUAUAAAUAUAUUUAUAUUUAUGUAAUAUUUGGAGAGAGAUUUAAAAAAAAAAAUGUUUUAAUCCUUGCUCUUCCAAACACAUUGCAGUUGUUAAAGUUUCAUGGGUUACCUAUUAAAUAAAUGAAUGAAUGAAAAGUUUCAACUUAAUUCUUAUGGUUAUAACACUUUAAAAACUGCUCGAUUUUGUAAGUAAAAAGAUCAGUUGUGGUUACAUUUUGUAUUCAAGAUUGUUUUUAUUACAAAUAUUAAUUGCUUCCAAUUUUUAGCUACAUAUAUUAAAGUUUAAAAAAAAUAUAAAAAUAAGAAGAUGUGGUAUGAUUGCCAAUGAGUCAUUACUCUCCACCAGAGACCAUUGAAGAAGAAUUUAAAAAUUAGCAAAACUCAUGCCAAAUGUAAAACCAAAAAUCAUGUGUCUAAGACUUAAAUAUCAAUCAGUAAACAUCUAAUUGAUUUAGAGUCUAGAGAAUAGACUGCCAUUAAUCAUAGGAUAAGGACAUGAUCUUGUACAAUCUCAAAAUAUAGGUAUCAACAGUUUGUAAAACUGGUCAACAUACAUAUGUGUAUAACAAUAAUGUUUAGUUUGGUUUUAAUUUACUGAUAGCAAAAUCAAUAUUUAUAUUUAUAAAAUACUUUCCAGUUUUAUUCAAAUAUGUUGUUAUAUCAAAACGAGACAAAUAUAAAAAAGUAGAUGUGGUAUUAUUGCCAAUGAGACAACUCUCCACAAGAGACCAAAAUGAGACAGAAAAGCAUGUUUAAAAGUCACUGAGGAUAUGUCAUUAUUUUUAAAACUAACAACUUACAGUAUAUGGGAAUAAAUCAAAUUAAGUUUUUAAAUGUAUGAAUGUAAUUUUUUUUUUUCAGAUGAAGACAACUUCAAGAAGAGUGACAUUUAGAAGAUAGAACAUUCUAUUGAUAUUGUUAUUAUGUCAACAACAAAAAAACAUAAAAAGUUGUGUAACGUUUUGAGAUUGCUGUAUAAAAUAAAAGUAGAGUGAAAUCAAA